ACAAGUGAACCACACUGAAUGCAGCUGCCCAAGAUCCUGAGCAAAAGUGACAGUUUAGGCCUAAAAUCACACAGAAGAGGGGGAAGGAAGUAUGGAAGAGCCAAACUCACUCCCGUGUGGACGUCGGCACCUGCACCAAAUUAAGAUUUCAGGGCUGAACUCAGAGAGCUUAGUAGAAAAGACGGAAAGGAAAACAAAUGGCAGACAAGCUGAGGGUGAAGGCUAUGGAGCGAAUACCUCCCCGCCGGCCGGUGUGUAAGCUAAAGAGCAUUUCGGCAAACUUGUGUGAACACAGUCC
Molecule: long non-coding RNA, 298 nt
Filed under: Cricetulus griseus (Chinese hamster)
Lineage: Eukaryota; Metazoa; Chordata; Mammalia; Rodentia; Cricetidae
Description: lncRNA (ENSCGRG00015031188.1)
Source: RNAcentral